Molecule: non-coding RNA, 339 nt
Organism: Yersinia pseudotuberculosis IP 32953
Lineage: Bacteria; Pseudomonadati; Pseudomonadota; Gammaproteobacteria; Enterobacterales; Yersiniaceae
Source: Rfam
UAGCGCGUGAGCUAAGGGAUCAACAGGCCGAUUUUUCAAACCGCGAGCUGAAUUUUCAAGCACUGACUUGUGCCAUCGCUCAGUAUACAAACACAAUAUAUAGUGGGUGGGUGUUGGACAGAUAACAAGAUAGUGAGUAUUGAGGCUUUUGGCAAGUGAACAAAACGGGAUAAUUGUGUGGAUAACUUGGGGGUUAAUUGUUACGAAUGCCUUAUAAGCUGCGCCAUUACUGGGACUCACUACUUAUCCUUCUGGGGGAUAAGAUUUUGCGGAAAAUCUUAAAAGUUUGAUCGUUUGCCGCUUUAUUAAACAUUCUAAAAGAACCCUGUAAUUUAUCGC